Molecule: ribosomal RNA, 643 nt
Filed under: uncultured bacterium
Lineage: Bacteria
Description: bacterial SSU rRNA
Rfam family: Bacterial small subunit ribosomal RNA
Source: RNAcentral
CGCGGCCUAUCAGCUUGUUGGUGGGGUAGUGGCUUACCAAGGCUUUGACGGGUAGCCGGCCUGAGAGGGUGACCGGCCACAUUGGGACUGGGAUACGGCCCAGACUCCUACGGGAGGCAGCAGUGGGGAAUAUUGCACAAUGGGCGGAAGCCUGAUGCAGCAACGCCGCGUGCGGGAUGACGGCCUUCGGGUUGUAAACCGCUUUCGCCUGUGACGAAGCGUGAGUGACGGUAAUGGGUAAAGAAGCACCGGCUAACUACGUGCCAGCAGCCGCGGUGAUACGUAGGGUACGAGCGUUGUCCGGAUUUAUUGGGCGUAAAGGGCUCGUAGGUGGUUGAUCGCGUCGGAAGUGUAAUCUUGGGGCUUAACCCUGAGCGUGCUUUCGAUACGGGUUGACUUGAGGAAGGUAGGGGAGAAUGGAAUUCCUGGUGGAGCGGUGGAAUGCGCAGAUAUCAGGAGGAACACCAGUGGCGAAGGCGGUUCUCUGGGCCUUUCCUGACGCUGAGGAGCGAAAGCGUGGGGAGCGAACAGGCUUAGAUACCCUGGUAGUCCACGCUGUAAACGGUGGGUACUAGGUGUGGGGUCCAUUCCACGGGUUCCGUGCCGUAGCUAACGCUUUAAGUACCCCGCCUGGGGAGUACGG